GUAAAGUCCACAGGGAAGACUGGAGGGCGAGAAAAAUUGAACUGUCCUGUCUCGUGACAUUCUGUCAUGGUGUCCCCAGAUGGGCCUAGUACACAAAAGACGUUCAUGAUUUCACAACACCUCUGAGAGAAAUACACCUGCCAUUUGUGUGACAACAAACUAACCCUCCCACUGCCCUUUGCAAGCUUCUUAUCUACAAUCAA
Ixodes scapularis (black-legged tick) is the source of this 203-nucleotide long non-coding RNA. RefSeq lists it as uncharacterized. NCBI's taxonomy places the organism in Eukaryota, Metazoa, Arthropoda, Arachnida, Ixodida, Ixodidae. The transcript has 3 exons. The record is from RefSeq and is a predicted model, not a curated record.